GGCGAACGCUGGCGGCGUGCUUAACACAUGCAAGUCGAACGGAAAGGCCCUGCUUUUGUGGGGUGCUCGAGUGGCGAACGGGUGAGUAACACGUGAGUAACCUGCCCUUGACUUUGGGAUAACUUCAGGAAACUGGGGCUAAUACCGGAUAGGAGCUCCUGCUGCAUGGUGGGGGUUGGAAAGUUUCGGCGGUUGGGGAUGGACUCGCGGCUUAUCAGCUUGUUGGUGGGGUAGUGGCUUACCAAGGCUUUGACGGGUAGCCGGCCUGAGAGGGUGACCGGCCACAUUGGGACUGAGAUACGGCCCAGACUCCUACGGGAGGCAGCAGUGGGGAAUAUUGCACAAUGGGCGGAAGUCUGAUGCAGCAACGCCGCGUGCGGGAUGACGGCCUUCGGGUUGUAAACCGCUUUCGCCUGUGACGAAGCGUGAGUGACGGUAAUGGGUAAAGAAGCACCGGCUAACUACGUG
RNAcentral lists this ribosomal RNA (468 nucleotides) under uncultured bacterium. RNAcentral describes it as "partial 16S ribosomal RNA". It matches the Rfam family "Bacterial small subunit ribosomal RNA", at positions 28 to 507 of the family's 1533-position model. The record is from RNAcentral.